UAGAAAAUAGUAUAGUGGAAGUACAAAGGGUUUUGGGCCCUUAAGUGCAGGCUCAGACCCUGUUUUUCUAA
Molecule: transfer RNA, 71 nt
Filed under: Plestiodon capito
Lineage: Eukaryota; Metazoa; Chordata; Lepidosauria; Squamata; Scincidae
Description: tRNA-Gln
Rfam family: tRNA
About the family: Transfer RNA (tRNA) molecules are approximately 80 nucleotides in length. Their secondary structure includes four short double-helical elements and three loops (D, anti-codon, and T loops).
Source: RNAcentral